RNAcentral lists this ribosomal RNA (900 nucleotides) under Melanconiella spodiaea. RNAcentral describes it as "partial large subunit ribosomal RNA". It matches the Rfam family "Eukaryotic large subunit ribosomal RNA", at positions 38 to 968 of the family's 3401-position model. Lineage: Eukaryota; Fungi; Ascomycota; Sordariomycetes; Diaporthales; Melanconiellaceae. The record is from RNAcentral.
GCAUAUCAAUAAGCGGAGGAAAAGAAACCAACAGGGAUUGCCCUAGUAACGGCGAGUGAAGCGGCAACAGCUCAAAUUUGAAAUCUGGCCUCGGCCCGAGUUGUAAUUUGCAGAGGAUGCUUCUGGCGCGGUGCCUUCCGAGUUCCCUGGAACGGGACGCCACAGAGGGUGAGAGCCCCGUAUGGUCGGACACCAAGCCUGUGUGAAGCUCCUUCGACGAGUCGAGUAGUUUGGGAAUGCUGCUCAAAAUGGGAGGUAAAUCUCUUCUAAAGCUAAAUACUGGCCAGAGACCGAUAGCGCACAAGUAGAGUGAUCGAAAGAUGAAAAGCACCUUGAAAAGGGGGUUAAACAGUACGUGAAAUUGUUGAAAGGGAAGCGCUUGUGACCAGACUUGCGCCGGGCGGCUCAUCAGGGGUUCUCCCCUGUGUACUCCGCCCGGUUCAGGCCAGCAUCGGUUCUCGCCGGGGGAUAAGAACGGUGGGAACGUGGCCCUCCCUCGGGGGGGUGUUAUAGCCCGCCGUACGAUAUCCUGGCGGGGACCGAGGUUCGCGCUCCGCAAGGAUGCUGGCGUAAUGGUCAUCAGCGACCCGUCUUGAAACACGGACCAAGGAGUCGUCCAUUAGAGCGAGCGUUUGGGUGUAAAACCCGCACGCGUAAUGAAAGUGAAAUUAGGUGAGAGCUUCGGCGCAUCAUCGACCGAUCCUGAUGUUCUCGGAUGGAUUUGAGUAAGAGUUUUAACGGACGGACCCGAAAGACAGUGAACUAUGCUUGUAUAGGGUGAAGCCAGAGGAAACUCUGGUGGAGGCUCGCAGCGGUUCUGACGUGCAAAUCGAUCGUCAAAUAUGAGCAUGGGGGCGAAAGACUAAUCGAACUGUCUAGUAGCUGGUUACCGCCGAAGUU